Ananas comosus (pineapple) is the source of this 2236-nucleotide RNA transcript. It is a transcript of the gene named ATP-dependent RNA helicase DbpA-like, with no coding region annotated. The record is from RefSeq and is a predicted model, not a curated record. The transcript is spliced from 7 exons. Lineage: Eukaryota; Viridiplantae; Streptophyta; Magnoliopsida; Poales; Bromeliaceae.
CUCAAAUUCUACUACAGGGAAUGAAGAAUCGCUCAACUGUGAGAUCUACCAUUACUCUAAGAACUAGUUACAUUCAAAUCCGUAGCUGUAUCCAAUUCCUUUUACUCUAAAAAUCUCCAUCAAUGACGAGUCGUGGGGCUUCUCAGGUUUAUUCGUAGGUUUUGGAUCUCUUUAGCCAAUAAAUAUUUAACAUUUUUCUCCUCUCUCCUGUUCCCACUUGUUCUUCCUCUCUGUGCCCAACAAUCAGGUAUGGGCUCUUCUCUCUCUCUCUGUCUCUCUAUGUAAGUUCAUCUCUGUAAUUAGAUGGGUAUGUGUGUAAUUUCCCAUGUUUGGGAUUUGGGUUUUCUGUGUGAUCCAUGUAUAUUGCCUCUGAUGUGUGGAUUUGAUGUUUUUUUUUUGGUUUAAUUUUGGUGGGUUUUUUUGGAUUUUAGUAGUUUGUAAUUGCUGUUACCUCUUAAUUUGGUGUAAAAAUUGGAACUUUGGUGAGUUUUUUUCCCCUUUUUUUUUCACCUUUUAGAUCCUUGAUAUCUCUGUGGGGCUAUAUUCUCAGAGGGAGUUUAAAAAUAAGGCUCUUCUUUAGAGAGAGAGAGAGAGAGAGAAGAGGGGGGGUGCAGGGCCCUAGGUUUUUUCAAGUUGGGUUUUUGCUAAUCAUGUGAACUGAGUUUAUGCAGGAUUUUGAGCUGAUUAUUGGAUUUAAAUGUUAAUUUUGUUUUGAACUCACUCAUUUGGAUCAACAAAACUCAGUGUUUUUGUUUAAAAAUGAAGGAAUCCUUUCGAUUUAUUGGGUUUGUAGUAAACUUAAUUAGUCAGCUAUAAAUGAUUCAAUGGAUUCUAUGGAUUCUUUACACAGCAUGUUGGUGAAGAAAUGUAGGUUCUGUUUCAAAUAUACUCAAGUCAAAUAUUCAGAAAUUGGAUCUUUCUCAUGUUUAUUCAGUGUUGUUCUUUACCUUGAUGUCCUUUUGAUGUGCAUUGGGGUGCUUACCAUUUCCAAACAAGCUUAAAUGUGAAUAAGUUCAAACUUAAGGGCUGAUGAAAUAUAACACAUUACUGAUUCUGGGACGUCUUUCCUGUGAGUAGUUAAACUACUUCUUAAUCAAUGUAGCCAACUUCGAAACUUUCACGCCUUCUAAUUGGUUCUGAAAUGCCACCAUUGUUCAGUGAUAUGACUAGAUUAGAGCUUGGAAGCGUGAUGUAAGUGUACGCUAAAAUAUAACAAAACAUCUCAGCAAUACCAUCGUGAAAUUUUUCUUAAACAACUUAGCUUAGCAUGUAUUCUUUCAUCCUUUUCUCUCUCCAUAUAUAUACAUGCAUAACUACAUUCCUAUACAUGAACAUUUCUUCAUAUAUAACAUUUCUUCAUAUGUCACUCAAUUGAGGGGAACUAUCACUAAGAGUGUCUCUACUCUUAGGUUUGAUGCGAGCAUGUUGUAAUGGCUAGUACAUUAUUCUGUGGGGUUUAUCACUAAGAAUGUCCACACUUGCAACAAAUUAUAAUGUUCAACCUAAUAGCUCCCAAAGAUAACAAUAUAGAAGCAGGAUUGUAAGCAGUGCAACGGUAUAUUGUGGCCCUUGAAUUGAUGGAAGAAACUGGCCUAUACAUAUGUGAAGGUCUCAACGUAUUCUUGCUGGUGGGGAUCAUAUAUAUAGAUGUGGCAAAUCUUCUUGUGGAGACUUGGAUACCGUUAUCACUCAUCCUGAUCGGGAAAGCCGACACAUCACAUACUUCUUUUCGUUUUUUGGUCCAGCCACAAAGGCUUUUUACCUAGGUACAUUCAAUAUUUGAAGGACAUCAACUUUCUGAGAGAGGAUCUUGUAUUUAGCACGCAUAGAACUGGUGCUUCAGAUGCAUCCGCUUCUCAUCUAUGAUGUUCAUCCAUGGGCUUAUUGUUCAUUAGAUCCCACCAACAUUAGCACCCAUUGAUGCAAUUGAGAGAUAUACUCAGAUCUCUAGUCAUCCCCUUCACAAGACUAAGAAGCCAGGCAUUUUAUCUGUGGAUAUCCAUCCUUUGAAGCUCUUAAUGCCAGUUGAACCGAAUAUCCAAGACAUAGGUGGUACUGAGAAAUUUUCGAAAAGAAAUACUUCAGAACAGCUGGAGCUGCGGAAAUUGAAGUGGGAAGCAAGAGUUCGAAAUUUAAUUUGAACUUAUGUUCGAAAUUUAAUUUUGAACAAGUAUUUUUUGUUUGAACUUAUGUUUGAAAUUUAAUUUGAAUUCUGAGAUUGUAAUUUGAGAGUUGA